Molecule: ribosomal RNA, 348 nt
Filed under: Triticum aestivum (bread wheat)
Lineage: Eukaryota; Viridiplantae; Streptophyta; Magnoliopsida; Poales; Poaceae
Description: partial small subunit ribosomal RNA
Source: RNAcentral
AUGCAGUCGUCGUCGCCAAAACGCGUCGAAUCCACAGGGAGCGCUUGGAGUACAACUGACGACCCACUGUUCGUCUUCUACGGCGACGGAGAGGGCGAUGCGAUCCAGCAGGAAGAGCCUCGGGCGGUUCCUCAUAACCAAGAGCUGGAUCAGAAAGCUGACCGAGUUCCAGCAGAAGAAGGAUUCAGUGAUUACGAUCCAGCAAUCCCUGACCAGUCCACACACAGCAAUGGUGACUCCGCCGUGGUGUCUGCGUCCGGAGUAGUUGACACCAGCGGAGAGGAUGGUCCUGACGAUGAGAAGGAGGUUAGCAGCCAGCCCACUAAACGGCGGCGUACAGUCGAAUAA